RNAcentral lists this long non-coding RNA (280 nucleotides) under Malus domestica (apple). RNAcentral's name for it is "long non-coding RNA (MDOM_LNC012136)". Lineage: Eukaryota; Viridiplantae; Streptophyta; Magnoliopsida; Rosales; Rosaceae. The record is from RNAcentral.
UUUUGGUUUUUUGGGAAACUAGAAAAAUUUUGAAAAUGUGGGAAAGACAACAUAUACAAAUUUUGCUUCCAUGAGCAAAAGAUUGUGAUGCAAGCCACACCUUGUAGUAGUCGAAGGUUUGGAUGAACCAUAUAAAUUGAAUUUGCUUUGAACAGUCUUGAAUUUGCUUCGAAGGUUUGAGAAUUGUAGUUGCCCUCCAUUGAUGAAGCUCUUGUUGGCACCAUAAAUUGGAUUUGAUUCACACUGUCUUCAUCAAGAGUGUGUGAAGCUUUUAAGUAUU